GACGGAGGGUACGAGCGUUAUUCGUUUUGAUUGGGUGUAAAGGGUGCGUAGGUGGCGUCGUAAGUCGGGUGUGAAAUUUCGGAGCUUAACUCCGAAACUGCGUUCGAUACUGCGGUGCUUGAGGACUGGAGAGGAGACUGGAAUUUACGGUGUAGCAGUGAAAUGCGUAGAGAUCGUAAGGAAGACCAGUGGCGAAGGCGGGUCUCUGGACAGUUCCUGACACUGAGGCACGAAGGCCAGGGGAGCAAACGGG
Molecule: ribosomal RNA, 253 nt
Filed under: uncultured bacterium
Lineage: Bacteria
Description: partial 16S ribosomal RNA
Rfam family: Bacterial small subunit ribosomal RNA
Source: RNAcentral